Molecule: ribosomal RNA, 776 nt
Filed under: uncultured Neocallimastigales
Lineage: Eukaryota; Fungi; Neocallimastigomycota; Neocallimastigomycetes; Neocallimastigales
Description: partial large subunit ribosomal RNA
Rfam family: Eukaryotic large subunit ribosomal RNA
Source: RNAcentral
GUACACGCUGUGACUAGCAUAUCAAUAAGCGGAGGAAAAGAAACUAACAAGGAUUCCCCUAGUAACGGCGAGUGAAGCGGGAAGAGCUCAAAUUUGAAAUCUUAAAGGGUUUCCCUUUACGAAUUGUAGUUUAAAGAAGUGUUUUCUGUUGAGGUUUUGGUAAAAGUUCUUUGGAAUAGGACAUCAUAGAGGGUGAGAAUCCCGUAUUUGACCUUUACUUUCAACUUUGUGAUACACUUUCAAAGAGUCGGAUUGUUUGGGAAUGCAGUCCAAAAUGGGUGGUAAAUUUCAUCUAAAGCUAAAUAUUGGCGAGAGGCCGAUAGCGAACAAGUACCGUGAGGGAAAGAUGAAAAGAACUUUGAAAAGAGAGUUAAACAGUACGUGAAAUUGUCAAAAGGGAAGCGUUUGACACCAGUGUUGUUUUUCUGAAAAUCAAUUAAAGAACUGUUUAUGCUAAGCUGUUUAGACUUUAUCAGCUAUACUGUUUAGUUUUGAGCUUUUCUUUAAUGCACUUUUCAGUUAACAAGUCAACAUCAAUUUCUCUUUGCUGUAAAAAAGCUUGAGGAAGGUGGCUUGAGAUUCGUCUUAAGUGUUUAUAGCCUCUUGCCUAUGCAGUCGGAGAGAUUGAGGUCUGCAGCGUAGAUCCUUCGGGGCUAAAUGCAUUUGUGCUAAGUUAUAGCAUUUUAUAGACAACUUGUUGACUAUGAUUUGUCUUGUAGCUUACUCGCUUAUGUUAUUUUACCUACGCUUAGGAUGUUGAAGAUGUAGCACAUCAU